UUUUUUUUUUUUUUUUUAAUGAAAUGGUCACUCAUCGGGAGAUUUGUCGCAUUCUGGAUUGCCGGAAAUUACGCAACAGCGCUCCUUUGAAUUCCUUUUUAAAAAUAAAAGGCAACGAGGUCACGAGGGACCACUGAAAGCGCGUUACUCGCGCGAUACAAUUCUUUGAAAAAUUCACGGGCGAGGCAGUUCUUUCGAGUCAAGGAGACCUUGAAAAAAAAAAAAACUCAAGAACCGAAAUGAGCGCACGAGAAGAAAGCUAAAAAAGAAA
Molecule: long non-coding RNA, 271 nt
Organism: Cephus cinctus (wheat stem sawfly)
Lineage: Eukaryota; Metazoa; Arthropoda; Insecta; Hymenoptera; Cephidae
Exons: 2
Source: RefSeq, a predicted model, not a curated record